UACGUAGGGGGCGAGCGUUGUCCGGAUUUACUGGGCGUAAAGCGUCCGCAGGCGGCCCGCUAAGUCUGGUGUGAAAGCCCCCCGCUCAACGGGGGGAGGUCAUCGGAGACUGACGGGCUGGAGGAUGGCAGAGGGGGACGGAAUUCCCGGAGUAGUGGUGAUAUGCGUAGAGACCGGGAGGAACACCGGCGGCGAAGGCGGUCCCCUGGGCCACUCCUGACGCUCAUGGACGAAAGCGUGGGGAGCGAACCGG
Molecule: ribosomal RNA, 253 nt
Filed under: uncultured bacterium
Lineage: Bacteria
Description: partial 16S ribosomal RNA
Rfam family: Bacterial small subunit ribosomal RNA
Source: RNAcentral